UCUUUCCCCGAAUUUUUCUGAAAAUUGCUGCGUUUCUGAAACUGCGAAAUGCCCCCGCCGAUGGACCAGCAGACGCCGGAGAAAUCUCCCUCCGACGGUCCGUCUCCGGUGACCUUCGUCUCUCCUCCCACUGGAUGCUGUGCCAACUGCGGUGGACCGACGACCUGCGAUCCACAACCACCGACGUCGUGGCCGGAGAUGUCGCCGCCGCCUAACUACGUGCCGAUCCGUGCUCCGGCUAUCAAUCUCCCGCCAAAAAAUUCCCAGGCGAUCAUCCUUGCUCCGGUUCCUCACGCCGAGAAAGUUCCCCUCAUCUCUCCGCCGUAUCACUUCGAGUGCCCCGUGAAGCGGAUUCACUCGCCGGACGAUAUCCGCCGCUUCCAUGAAUCCGCCUCUGGAAAGAACUUCCUUGGUUUCGUUGUCGCUCUGUCGGAGUCGAUCCGUGGCCACAAGAUAUCUGAUCCGUGCCACGUGUCCCCGACCGUCGCCGCCAUAGUCUCCAUCCUCGAAGCUAUGGUGCAGUGGAUUGACGAGAUUCCUCCGGCUCAACAGUCCUCGCGAUAUGGGAACGUCUCGUAUCGGACUUGGCACGAGAGGCUCGAUGAGAAGGGCGAGUUGCUGAUGCUUGGGUUUCUCCCCGAGGAGUUCAAGGGAUCGACGGUCGAGAUUGUUCCGUACUUCUCUGAUAGCUUCGGAAACGCGAGCAGGAUCGAUUAUGGAACUGGUCACGAAACAAAUUUCGCUGCGUGGUUGUAUUGCUUGGCGAGGAUGGGGAUCAUUAAGGAAGAGGAUUAUCACGCUGUGGUUGCUAGGGUUUUCGUAAAGUAUCUGGAAUUGAUGCGGAAAUUGCAGAUGGUUUACAGCUUAGAGCCUGCUGGAUCUCAUGGAGUAUGGGGGCUUGAUGAUUACCACUUCUUACCCUUCAUAUUCGGGAGCUCUCAAUUGAUUGAUCACAAGUAUAUGAAGCCGAAAUCGAUCCACAACGAUGACAUUCUGGAGAAUUUCUCGAAUGAAUACAUGUAUUUAUCCUGUAUUGGCUAUGUGAAGAAGGUGAAAAAGGGUUUGUUCUCAGAGCACUCACCUUUGUUGGACGAUAUCAGUGGGGUGCCGAACUGGAAGAAGGUGAACAGUGGACUGCUGAAGAUGUACAAAGUUGAGGUGCUCGAAAAAGUGCCCAUUAUGCAGCAUUUUCUGUUUGGAUGGCUCAUCAACUGGCUAUUGAGCUGUUCAUUGAGAUGGAGAAACCUCAAGGGCGCAGUGGAUUGUGGUUUAUAUUGUCUAUACCUUGGAGGAUUGGAUUAUUUUAUGGCACGUUAUUUUGGUUUCAUUAACUGCAAGUCUGCAAUCAUCAAUGCGGAAGGCUUGCAUUCAAGAUAGCGAGCUCACUGGCAUGAGUCAUCUGAGUUAAACAACGGGCUAAUCAACUCGAACAUGGAAGAGUGAAAUGACCUAGCAUCCGAUAUAUCCUGCGGCAGGGCUACAGUUUUCCAAUCUGGGUUACUCGGUCGGGUUUGACGGAAAGCGAAACAAUAAGAGCACAACCGUACAUUAGAGUGUAUUAACUCGAUCUGAGCCUGAGGUUGUUCUUGGAGCUUUGUGAGAGAUGCAGAGGGCUUAAUGUCUCUCUGCCAGAGUUCAUUUAUGUACGUAGGCCUCUCCUCCUCCAUUCAUUACGACUCAUCCCCUUUGCCAUUGUGUUAGGUACAUCUACUUACUUCUCAUGCCUUUGUUUUUUGUCUACUUGUCUUUGUUCCUUUCCGUAGCGAUAUGCAAUUUGAGAGACUGAUUGGUUGUGAUUGUAACCGUUUAGUUUCAGCGUUUAACACAUUGUAUAAUUUGCGUUUGCGUUUGGAUCGCUAAGCACAAUAUUAUAGUCGUUAUCUUUAGAGACAUCGGUUUGUGAGGUGCCCAUUGUAUACAUGCAUCUCAGUGACAUGCCGACUCUAUUCUA
Tarenaya hassleriana is the source of this 1951-nucleotide RNA transcript. It is a transcript of the gene named serine/threonine-protein phosphatase 2A activator-like, with no coding region annotated. The record is from RefSeq and is a predicted model, not a curated record. The transcript is spliced from 3 exons. NCBI's taxonomy places the organism in Eukaryota, Viridiplantae, Streptophyta, Magnoliopsida, Brassicales, Cleomaceae.